Molecule: unclassified non-coding RNA, 348 nt
Filed under: soil metagenome
Description: partial contains 5.8S ribosomal RNA, internal transcribed spacer 2, and large subunit ribosomal RNA
Rfam family: 5.8S ribosomal RNA (bases 1-120)
Source: RNAcentral
GAUGAAGAACGUAGCGAAAUGCGAUAAGUAAUGUGAAUUGCAGAAUUCAGUGAAUCAUCGAAUCUUUGAACGCACAUUGCGCCCGCCAGUAUUCCGGCGGGCAUGCCUGUCUGAGCGUCAUUUCAACCCUCAUGCCCCUAGGGCGUGGUGUUGGGGAUCGGCCAAAGCCCGCGAGGGACGGCCGGCCCCUAAAUCUAGUGGCGGACCCGUCGUGGCCUCCUCUGCGAAGUAGUGAUAUUCCGCAUCGGAGAGCGAUGAGCCCCUGCCGUUAAACCCCCAACUUUCCAAGGUUGACCUCAGAUCAGGUAGGAAUACCCGCUGAACUUAAGCAUAUCAAUAAGCGGAGGA